Non-coding RNA from Pelobates cultripes (western spadefoot toad), 484 nucleotides. The record is from the annotation of a GenBank genome assembly. Lineage: Eukaryota; Metazoa; Chordata; Amphibia; Anura; Pelobatidae.
AGAUAGUUAAGAUGGCACUUGGCUUAAACUGUGUCGCACUAAGAAAUUCAACUUGUGUCGCACUAAGAAAUUCAGCUAUGAUGACAUUGCAUAAAAUGCUUAAACUGUGUCGCACUAAGAAAUUCAACAUUGCCUGGAAUAUUCCAUAGCAUGUCUGGCCAAUAUCCAAAAAGGCCCACGUGCUGAACAGAGGGAAUUGGUGCCAACAAAUGUAUGGAAAGAUAAGAGUAGGGACAUAGAUAGAAUAAGAUACCGCACGUGUCUGGCAUGAGCCUUGGGUGGUCACGACUGGCCUGAUCAACCAUACUGAUUACCUAAUGCGCAUGACAAGAUACAUGCUGGGCUGCACUGAUAAGAAAUCUUGGAAAAGUUACAAACUUGCUAAAAGGUAUAAAAGACGGAGAAACUUGGCACUCACUUGGAGAACUACCCACCUGUAAUGCGGACGCGUGUUGCUGGUCUCUGCUGUUCCCAGAGAGGGUCC